AUUAACAUGAUUAACAGAACCAAAUAAAUGGGUUCAAAUCAUUUAUACAGGUUAUGAGAUUCAAUAGCAUUCUUGAGUUAUUUAUUAUCACCAUUAUGUUAGCUCAACUUGCUUGCUUUUUCUACUUCAACACUCACAACGGCCGUCACAGUUGUAGAGAUUCUGAAGAAAAAAGGGCUAGCUAUUGAGAAGAGGAUUUUGAUGUCUACAGUUGACAUGAAGGAUGAAUCCAAGGGCCGUCUCAUUCCAAAAGCGAAGAUUGAGGUAUUGCUGGGGAAGACUGAGAAAUUCGAUGAUUUGAUUGUUGUCGUUGCUGCCAAAGGGAGGUAGUUGGAGAUAAUAAAGCAUGAUGGCAAACCAUAGCUCUGGAGUUCCAUCAUAUUCUGAUUUUCAUUUCUUUUUUCCUCCUGGUGUCCUGUUUAAGUGAUAGAGGUUAUGGAGUUUUUAAGUAGAGCUGCUGCUGUCAUUAACUGAAAAGAGCAGAGUUGAGAGAGGCCUUUUUAUUUUCUCCUUCUAUGGGAGUUGUUGAUGAUACAGACAAUCUGCUGUUUGGUGGUCAGACUACUGUUGUAUUGUUUGAGUCUUGUUUCAGCAUCUUCCUUUGACGCUGAUUGAUUGACAGCAAACAGUAAAAGCUUUGGUGAUCUUCCAUCUUUGUUGUUUCCAAAGGAUAUGGGGCAGACAUUGCCUUAACUGGUAUUGUCCAUAAUCUGAAAGUAGAUCCUUCUUCUGAA
Molecule: long non-coding RNA, 734 nt
Organism: Magnolia sinica
Lineage: Eukaryota; Viridiplantae; Streptophyta; Magnoliopsida; Magnoliales; Magnoliaceae
Exons: 3
Source: RefSeq, a predicted model, not a curated record